This 488-nucleotide long non-coding RNA is filed under the name Gallus gallus (chicken). The record is from RNAcentral. Lineage: Eukaryota; Metazoa; Chordata; Aves; Galliformes; Phasianidae.
AGAUGGUGCUGACGGGGUCAGGCAGAAGUGAAGAACGGCAGCAGUGGCAAAUGCAAAGACCCCUCACUCUUAACACCUCUUUCUCAUGCUUAAGACUUGAAAAGCAUCCCUGCUGCUGCUCCAGGAUCUGUAAGUCAAGGUGAUGAGGAGGAGAGGGGUGUGAUGAAGGAACGUAGUGUUUGUGGAGGUCCUGGCCAAGGUACGGUGCUCCAGCAAUGGGAUGCAGCAGUGUGCUUAAUGAGGUAAACGAGUUAUCUCAAAGAGGACCGUAGCAGAGAUCUCCUUGGGUCUGGAAGACAAGAGCUAUCAUUGAAAGAUGUUUCUACUCCUUUUCUCUUUUCUUUUUUUUUUUUUUUUUUGAUUUCUUUUUCCUCAAAACUCCUUUCAGAGUUGGAAAGGCUUGGAGUUGGGUAACUCAAACCAGAUAUGUGCACUUUAUAAAGUGUGUGUGUGUGUGUCUUUAGUGAAGUGUUGGCACUUUGACUGCC